RNAcentral lists this ribosomal RNA (983 nucleotides) under Bacteroides fragilis. RNAcentral describes it as "bacterial SSU rRNA". The record is from RNAcentral. Lineage: Bacteria; Pseudomonadati; Bacteroidota; Bacteroidia; Bacteroidales; Bacteroidaceae.
CUUCACCUGAACAAUAAAGCGAGGCUGUUCGAAGAACUUUCGUUGGCUCCUUCCAUUCGUGAAGAGCUUUUCUGCCGGAGCAUCACUGCCAUGAAGGCCUUGGGGCUGCGAUAUGCGGGCAUAGACGUGUUGAUAGCCCAGAAUACGGACACACCUUAUGAUACUGUCAGUCUUGAGUACAGUAGAGGUGGGCGGAAUUCGUGGUGUAGCGGUGAAAUGCUUAGAUAUCACGAAGAACUCCGAUUGCGAAGGCAGCUCACUGGACUGCAACUGACACUGAUGCUCGAAAGUGUGGGUAUCAAACAGGAUUAGAUACACUGGUAGUCCACACAGUAAACGAUGAAUACUCGCUGUUUGCGAUAUACAGUAAGCGGCCAAGCGAAAGCAUUAAGUAUUCCACCUGGGGAGUACGCCGGCAACGGUGAAACUCAAAGGAAUUGACGGGGGCCCGCACAAGCGGAGGAACAUGUGGUUUAAUUCGAUGAUACGCGAGGAACCUUACUCGGGCUUAAAUUGCAGUGGAAUGAUGUGGAAACAUGUCAGUGAGCAAUCACCGCUGUGAAGGUGCUGCAUGGUUGUCGUCAGCUCGUGCCGUGAGGUGUCGGCUUAAGUGCCAUAACGAGCGCAACCCUUAUCUUCAGUUACUAACAGGUCAUGCUGAGGACUCUGGAGAGACUGCCGUCGUAAGAUGUGAGGAAGGUGGGGAUGACGUCAAAUCAGCACGGCCCUUACGUCCGGGGCUACACACGUGUUACAAUGGGGGGUACAGAAGGCAGCUAGCGGGUGACCGUAUGCUAAUCCCAAAAUCCUCUCUCAGUUCGGAUCGAAGUCUGCAACCCGACUUCGUGAAGCUGGAUUCGCUAGUAAUCGCGCAUCAGCCACGGCGCGGUGAAUACGUUCCCSGGCUUCAUUCCGGUUCCUUGCGAAGAAGCCUGUCCCGUGAAAGCUAUCAGCAAAGACGAGAACGGUAUCGAACAUAUUGA